UGGCGGACGGGUGAGUAAUGUCUGGGAAACUGCCCGAUGGAGGGGGAUAACUACUGGAAACGGUAGCUAAUACCGCAUAACGUCGUAAGACCAAAGAGGGGGACCUUAGGGCCUCUUGCCAUCGGAUGUGCCCAGAUGGGAUUAGCUAGUAGGUGGGGUAACGGCUCACCUAGGCGACGAUCCCUAGCUGGUCUGAGAGGAUGACCAGCCACACUGGAACUGAGACACGGUCCAG
RNAcentral lists this ribosomal RNA (235 nucleotides) under uncultured bacterium. RNAcentral describes it as "partial 16S ribosomal RNA". It matches the Rfam family "Bacterial small subunit ribosomal RNA", at positions 96 to 334 of the family's 1533-position model. The record is from RNAcentral.